ACGAACGCUGGCGGCGUGCCUAAUACAUGCAAGUAGAACGCUGAAGGAGGAGCUUGCUUCUCUGGAUGAGUUGCGAACGGGUGAGUAACGCGUAGGUAACCUGCCUGGUAGCGGGGGAUAACUAUUGGAAACGAUAGCUAAUACCGCAUAAGAGUAGAUGUCGCAUGACAUUUGCUUAAAAGGUGCAAUUGCAUCACUACCAGAUGGACCUACGUUGUAUUAGCUAGUUGGUGAGGUAACGGCUCACCAAGGCAACGAUACAUAGCCGACCUGAGAGGGUGAUCGGCCACACUGGGACUGAGACACGGCCCAGACUCCUACGGGAGGCAGCAGUAGGGAAUCUUCGGCAAUGGACGGAAGUCUGACCGAGCAACGCCGCGUGAGUGAAGAAGGUUUUCGGAUCGUAAAGCUCUGUUGUAAGAGAAGAACGAGUGUGAGAGUGGAAAGUUCACACUGUGACGGUAUCUUACCAGAAAGAGACGGCUAACUACGUG
RNAcentral lists this ribosomal RNA (494 nucleotides) under uncultured bacterium. RNAcentral describes it as "partial 16S ribosomal RNA". It matches the Rfam family "Bacterial small subunit ribosomal RNA", at positions 29 to 507 of the family's 1533-position model. The record is from RNAcentral.